GUCCUGGGUAGCCUAGUGGACAUGGCAUCUGCCCGGUAAGCGGAACACUGUUGGUUUGAUUCCCAUCCCUGGACA
Molecule: transfer RNA, 75 nt
Filed under: Cordylochernes scorpioides
Lineage: Eukaryota; Metazoa; Arthropoda; Arachnida; Pseudoscorpiones; Chernetidae
Description: tRNA-Thr
Rfam family: tRNA
About the family: Transfer RNA (tRNA) molecules are approximately 80 nucleotides in length. Their secondary structure includes four short double-helical elements and three loops (D, anti-codon, and T loops). Further hydrogen bonds mediate the characteristic L-shaped molecular structure. tRNAs have two regions of fundamental functional importance: the anti-codon, which is responsible for specific mRNA codon recognition, and the 3' end, to which the tRNAs corresponding amino acid is attached (by aminoacyl-tRNA synthetases). tRNAs cope with the degeneracy of the genetic code in two manners: having more than one tRNA (with a specific anti-codon) for a particular amino acid; and 'wobble' base-pairing, i.e. permitting non-standard base-pairing at the 3rd anti-codon position.
Source: RNAcentral